This 301-nucleotide ribosomal RNA is filed under the name uncultured bacterium. RNAcentral's name for it is "partial 16S ribosomal RNA". It matches the Rfam family "Bacterial small subunit ribosomal RNA", at positions 509 to 809 of the family's 1533-position model. The record is from RNAcentral.
CAGCCGCCGCGGUAAUACGAAGGGUGCAAGCGUUAAUCGGAAUUACUGGGCGUAAAGCGUGCGCAGGCGGUUAUAUAAGACAGAUGUGAAAUCCCCGGGCUCAACCUGGGACCUGCAUUUGUGACUGUAUAGCUAGAGUACGGUAGAGGGGGAUGGAAUUCCGCGUGUAGCAGUGGAAUGCGUAGAUAUGCGGAGGAACACCGAUGGCGAAGGCAAUCCCCUGGACCUGUACUGACGCUCAUGCACGAAAGCGUGGGGAGCAAACAGGAUUAGAUACCCGUGUAGUCCCUGUCUCUUAUAU